UGAGGAAUAUUGCACAAUGGGCGCAAGCCUGAUGCAGCAACGCCGCGUGAGGGACGAGGGCCUUCGGGUCGUAAACCUCUUUUCUGGGGACGAGUAAGGACGGUACCCCAGGAAUAAGUCUCGGCUAACUACGUGCCAGCAGCCGCGGUAAAACGUAGGAGGCGAGCGUUAUCCGGAUUUACUGGGCGUAAAGCGUACGCAGGUGGCUUCGUUAGUCGGACAUGAAAGCUCCUGGCUUAACUGGGAGAGGUUGUUCGAUACUGCGGGGCUUGAGGUUGGGAGAGGGACGUGGAAUUCCCGGUGUAGUGGUGGAAUGCGUAGAUAUCGGGAGGAACACCAGUGGCGCAAGCGGCGUCCUGGCCCACACCUGACGCUGAGGUACGAAAGCGUGGGUAGCAAACAG
Molecule: ribosomal RNA, 403 nt
Filed under: uncultured bacterium
Lineage: Bacteria
Description: bacterial SSU rRNA
Rfam family: Bacterial small subunit ribosomal RNA
Source: RNAcentral